AUACGGAGGGUGCAAGCGUUGUUCGGAUUUACUGGGCGUAAAGCGCACGUAGGCGGACUGUCAAGUCGGGUGUGAAAACCAGUGGCUUAACCACUGGCCUGCACUCGAAACUGGUAGUCUUGAGUACCGGAGAGGAUGGCGGAAUUCCUGGUGUAGCGGUGAAAUGCGUAGAUAUCAGGAAGAACACCGGCGGCGAAGGCGGCCAUCUGGACGGAUACUGACGCUCAGGUGCGAAGGCUAGGGGAGCAAACAGGAUUAGAAACCCGGGUAGUCC
Molecule: ribosomal RNA, 274 nt
Filed under: uncultured bacterium
Lineage: Bacteria
Description: partial 16S ribosomal RNA
Rfam family: Bacterial small subunit ribosomal RNA
Source: RNAcentral